RNAcentral lists this non-coding RNA (30 nucleotides) under Rattus norvegicus (Norway rat). The record is from RNAcentral. Lineage: Eukaryota; Metazoa; Chordata; Mammalia; Rodentia; Muridae.
UUAUUCUGUUUUAGGUGACUUGGUCCUAAU